This is a non-coding RNA of Camelina sativa (false flax), 284 nucleotides long. The record is from RefSeq and is a predicted model, not a curated record. Lineage: Eukaryota; Viridiplantae; Streptophyta; Magnoliopsida; Brassicales; Brassicaceae.
UCAACAACAACAAAUCCAAAGUCAGAUGGUCUUUCACAAUUGUUAGGAGCUGAUAAUCCUGGUCGGUUAAGGGCUAUGGGCAGAGGGAUGAGUAUGACAAAACUGUCUUUUUUCCAAGUCAACAGUAAGUGUAUGGCUGAAAUGAAAGAAAAGCAAGUUAGUUUACAAAGAAAAGUAGAUGACUUACAAGCUGUCAUUGAACAUUUGAAGAGAGGAGAACCUGAGGUCGGGGAAAAUUCAGCUGCAAGGAGUGUCACUAAUAGAGCACAUCCUAAGUGUUUGCU